RNAcentral lists this ribosomal RNA (207 nucleotides) under uncultured bacterium. RNAcentral describes it as "partial 16S ribosomal RNA". It matches the Rfam family "Bacterial small subunit ribosomal RNA", at positions 568 to 774 of the family's 1533-position model. The record is from RNAcentral.
CUCGUAGGUGGUUUGUCGCGUUGUUCGUGAAAACCUGAGGCUUAACCUCGGGCGUGCGGGCGAUACGGGCAGACUAGAGUACUGCAGGGGAGACUGGAAUUCCUGGUGUAGCGGUGGAAUGCGCAGAUAUCAGGAGGAACACCGGUGGCGAAGGCGGGUCUCUGGGCAGUAACUGACGCUGAGGAGCGAAAGCGUGGGGAGCGAACA